RNAcentral lists this ribosomal RNA (531 nucleotides) under uncultured bacterium. RNAcentral describes it as "bacterial SSU rRNA". It matches the Rfam family "Bacterial small subunit ribosomal RNA", at positions 777 to 1320 of the family's 1533-position model. The record is from RNAcentral.
AAUAGAUACCCUGGUAGUCCUAGCCGUAAACGAUGAACACUAGGCGUAGUCGGUAUCGACCCCGGCUGUGCCGUAGCUAACGCAUUAAGUGUUCCGCCUGGGGAGUACGGCCGCAGGGCUAAAACUCAAAGGAAUUGACGGGGACCCGCACAAGCAGCGGAGCGUGUGGUUUAAUUCGUCGCAACGCGAAGAACCUUACCAGGGCUUGACAUGUGGCGGAAAACGGCGGAAACGUCGUCCUCCCGCAAGGGACCGUCAUGCAGGUGUUGCAUGGCUGUCGUCAGCUCGUGUCGUGAGAUGUUGGGUUAAGUCCCGCAACGAGCGCAACCCCCGUGGCAUGUUGUAUCUCUCAUGCCAGACUGCCGAGAGAAACUCGGAGGAAGGUGGGGAUGACGCCAAGUCAGCAUGGCCCUUACGUCCUGGGCUACACACACGCUACAAUGGCCGGUACAACGGGUUGCCAAACCGCGAGGUGGAGCUAAUCCCUUAAAGCCGGUCUCAGUUCGGACUGCAGGCUGCAACUCGCCUGCA